Molecule: ribosomal RNA, 457 nt
Filed under: uncultured eukaryote
Lineage: Eukaryota
Description: partial 18S ribosomal RNA
Rfam family: Eukaryotic small subunit ribosomal RNA
Source: RNAcentral
CAGAAGCGUAUAUUAAUGUUGUUGCAGUUAAAACGCUCGUAGUUGGAUUUUGGAGGACGGGAAGGGUGCUGUCCGGCUAAAGCCGAGUACGGACCCACCGCCUCUGUAGUUGGCGGCGACGCACGCGGGGCCUUAAUUGGUUGCCGGGUGAGCUGGAGGGGUAUUACCCGAAGGCGAGGCCGCGGGCGCGGGGUAAUAGCCGCGGCUCGGGGCAGCGUUCCGCCUCAUUUACUUUGAAAAAAAUAGAGUGCUCAAAGCAGGCCUCGGGGCCAUUGAAUAAUUCAGCAUGGGAUAAUAGAACACGAGAUUGAAGAUCGUUUUGUUGGUAACAGCGAUUUCAAACUAAUGAUUAAAAGGGACCGUCGGGGUGGUUUGUAUUGGGGAGCUAGAGGUGAAAUUCUUGGAUUUCCUCAAGACAAACAACUGCGAAAGCAAUCUACUAGGAGGUUCUCAUUAA